This is a long non-coding RNA of Anguilla anguilla (European eel), 642 nucleotides long. RefSeq lists it as uncharacterized. The record is from RefSeq and is a predicted model, not a curated record. The transcript is spliced from 4 exons. NCBI's taxonomy places the organism in Eukaryota, Metazoa, Chordata, Actinopteri, Anguilliformes, Anguillidae.
CAGGGCAGGGAGGCUCAACGGUUCAGGCCCAAAAUAACAUAAAAUAGGAGGCCGAAGCACGGAAAGGAGAAGGUGAUUGACCUGGAAGUAGAAUGGCAAGGUCAGCAUGCAUCCACCAUGGAUUUUAUGGCAUCCACACACCAGCAAGCAGGAUUUGUUUGUGCAAGACCAACAUGAUGCAUCCCUGUAUUUCCAGCCAAGCAGCCAGAUCUCAAAUUUAAAACCAUGGGGGAAACUAGGAGCCAAUUGAAUCAAGGGCCCUGCUGGAACUCUCUGAAUGCCUAGACUUCAUGUUUCCUCCUGCUCUGUUUGGGCUGUUGCUGUGGAUGUCUCACUGUCAUCACAGAUCUUCUGGGAGAGAUGCUGAGGCUGGAUUCAGGCCUGGAAUGUCCCGUCAGCCAUCUUGUCAGCAACAUUCACCUUUCCGGUCUCCUUCCUUUGUUCUCUUCAUGUUUACUUUAUGUCGCCUCUCUGCACCCCUCAAUCGCCAUUCUAUCUCUCAUUCACUCAUUCACCAUGCAUCACUCAUUCAUGGCCCUGCACUGUGAGGGCUACACUAUGAUGGCUGUAGAGCACUCCGUUGAAUUGCGUGAAAUGGUUAGAAUUGAAAAAGCGCAGUGUAAGAGGUAAAGCUCUCAUUUU